UACGAACUGUGCAAACGUUAUUCGGAAUCACUGGGCUUAAAGGGUGCGUAGGCGGCUAGAUAAGUCAGGUGUGAAAUCUCUCGGCUCAACCGGGAAAUGGCGCUUGAAACUAUCUGGCUUGAGUGAGAUAGGGGUGUGCGGAACUUCCGGUGGAGCGGUGAAAUGUGUUGAUAUCGGAAGGAACGCCGGUGGCGAAAGCGGCACACUGGGUCUCAACUGACGCUGAGGCACGAAAGCCAGGGUAGCGAACGGG
Molecule: unclassified non-coding RNA, 253 nt
Filed under: uncultured Planctomycetales bacterium
Lineage: Bacteria; Pseudomonadati; Planctomycetota; Planctomycetia; Planctomycetales
Description: contains 16S-23S intergenic spacer region
Rfam family: Bacterial small subunit ribosomal RNA
Source: RNAcentral